This 460-nucleotide ribosomal RNA is filed under the name uncultured bacterium. Its description in RNAcentral is "partial 16S ribosomal RNA". It matches the Rfam family "Bacterial small subunit ribosomal RNA", at positions 338 to 795 of the family's 1533-position model. The record is from RNAcentral.
CCUACGGGUGGCUGCAGUGAGGAAUAUUGGUCAAUGGACGAGAGUCUGAACCAGCCAAGUAGCGUGAAGGAUGACUGCCCUAUGGGUUGUAAACUUCUUUUAUAUGGGAAUAAAAUGUUCCACGUGUGGGAUUUUGUAUGUACCAUAUGAAUAAGGAUCGGCUAACUCCGUGCCAGCAGCCGCGGUAAUACGGAGGUUCCGAGCGUUAUCCGGAUUUAUUGGGUUUAAAGGGAGCGUAGUGGGAUUGUUAAGUCAGUUGUGAAAGUUUGCGGCUCAACCGUAAAAUUGCAGUUGAAACUGGCAGUCUUGAGUACAGUAGAGGUGGGCGGAAUUCGUGGUGUAGCGGUGAAAUGCUUAGAUAUCACGAAGAACUCCGAUUGCGAAGGCAGUUCACUGGACUGCAACUGACACUGAGGCUCGAAAGUGUGGGUAUCAAACAGGAUUAGAUACCCGAGUAGUC